Molecule: unclassified non-coding RNA, 531 nt
Filed under: Melitaea cinxia (Glanville fritillary)
Lineage: Eukaryota; Metazoa; Arthropoda; Insecta; Lepidoptera; Nymphalidae
Description: misc RNA ENSMCXG00005005137.1
Source: RNAcentral
UUUUUUAAAAAUACACAAAUAAAAGCUAUAAAAAAUAUGUGUUUAAGGGGCAGGUAUAGGUGUGUUCACAACACUGACCCUGCCUCGAGGGAUUAGGUUCGGACCCUACCAAGGCAGAAAGACGUCUGAAGUGACAUCAGAUUACUGUUGGCAAAUACACGAUGGUAAGAACAAUAAAUCACAUUACGUGGACGCGGCAAACGCGAACAAUUCUAACUGGAUGCGGUAUGUUAACUGCUCGAGACACUGGAGCGAACAGAAUCUUGUCGCUUACCAGUACAAGGGAAAGCUUUAUUACAGGACAAUAAAAAUAAUUCCAAAAUUCACUGAAUUAAUGGUUUUCUAUGGAGAGGAAUUUGUUGAUAUGCUCGGAAUUAACAUUCACAGAUAUAAUUCACCUCUUAGCUAUCUUCAAAAUUUAGGUGUCCCAACUUAUAACAAUCUUGAUGGUAGUGCAGAAAAUAAAAAUGAAGAACAAAUCAAUCCUCAAAAUAAUCUUACGAACUAUCUUUUAACUACUUCAAACGAAGC